RNAcentral lists this long non-coding RNA (579 nucleotides) under Lonchura striata (white-rumped munia). RNAcentral's name for it is "domestica (Bengalese finch) lncRNA (ENSLSDG00000011290.1)". The record is from RNAcentral. Lineage: Eukaryota; Metazoa; Chordata; Aves; Passeriformes; Estrildidae.
GGAGGAGUCCCGGCAGGGAUAAAGGUGCUCCUCACCUGCUGCAGCCUCACCCAGCGCUGCCCGGAGCCAGAGGAAGAUGAAGGUGGCUGUGCUCAGCGUGGCCCUGCUCUUCUCCAUCCUGCUGUGCCUCCCAGCACAGAGCAAGCCAUGGAUGGCAGUGGUGACACCAUAUGUGCUGGGCAAGUUGGUGGCAUUAGUGACGGCAAGUCAGGCGCUGUAGGAGCGAUAGGUGGAUGCAUUAUGGUAAGUCCUGGACCUGGGGCACCAGUGUGGGGACUGGGGGCCAGUCGGGUGCCCCCAUGCCUUGCUGGCACUGGGGACACCCCAGUGACCAGUGACAUCUCCCCAUCUCUCUACAGAAACCAAAAUUCCCUCCACCACCGAUGGCUGAGGUGGAGCUUCUGCAGGAGUGAUGCCCGGCUGCCCCUCUGGAUGCCCUGGCCUGGAACUGGUGGUGACACUUGCGUCCUGUCCCUCUCCAGCGGCAUGAGGAGAUGAUCAUCCCUGGAGAACCCCCCUAAUUCCUUGGGAGCCCUGGGAAUUUCCCUGGAAUAAUCAAUAAACCCCUUCAGCAAAGCA